Molecule: ribosomal RNA, 976 nt
Filed under: Salmonella enterica subsp. enterica serovar Enteritidis
Lineage: Bacteria; Pseudomonadati; Pseudomonadota; Gammaproteobacteria; Enterobacterales; Enterobacteriaceae
Description: bacterial LSU rRNA
Rfam family: Bacterial large subunit ribosomal RNA
Source: RNAcentral
AUGGUUAAGUUAGAAAGGGCGCACGGUGGAUGCCUUGGCACUAGGAGCCGAUGAAGGACGGGACGAACACCGAUAUGCUUCGGGGAGCUGUAAGCAAGCUUUGAUCCGGAGAUUUCCGAAUGGGGAAACCCACUGCUCGUAAUGGAGUAGUAUCCAUACUUGAAUACAUAGAGUAUGAGAAGGCAUACCCGGGGAACUGAAACAUCUAAGUACCCGGAGGAAGAGAAAGCAAAUGCGAUUCCCUGAGUAGCGGCGAGCGAAACGGGAACAGCCCAAACCAAGAGGCUUGCCUCUUGGGGUUGUAGGACACUCUAUACGGAGUUACAAAGGAAUGAUAUAAGCGAAGAGGUCUGGAAAGGCCCGCCAAAGAAGGUAACAGCCCUGUAACUGAAAUGUUAUUCUCUCCAGAGUGGAUCCUGAGUACGGCGGAACACGUGAAAUUCCGUCGGAAUCCGGGAGGACCAUCUCCCAAGGCUAAAUACUCCCUAGUGACCGAUAGUGAACCAGUACCGUGAGGGAAAGGUGAAAAGCACCCCGGAAGGGGAGUGAAAUAGAUCCUGAAACCGUGUGCCUACAAGUAGUCAGAGCCCGUUAACGGGUGAUGGCGUGCCUUUUGUAGAAUGAACCGGCGAGUUACGAUCCCGUGCAAGGUUAAGCAGAAGAUGCGGAGCCGCAGCGAAAGCGAGUCUGAAUAGGGCGCAUGAGUACGUGGUCGUAGACCCGAAACCAGGUGAUCUACCCAUGUCCAGGGUGAAGUUCAGGUAACACUGAAUGGAGGCCCGAACCCACGCACGUUGAAAAGUGCGGGGAUGAGGUGUGGGUAGGGGUGAAAUGCCAAUCGAACCUGGAGAUAGCUGGUUCUCUCCGAAAUAGCUUUAGGGCUAGCCUCAAGGUAAGAGUCUCGGAGGUAGAGCACUGAUUGGACUAGGGGCCCCUACCGGGUUACCGAAUUCAGUCCAACUCCGAAUGCCGAUGA